Small nuclear RNA from Otolemur garnettii (small-eared galago), 164 nucleotides. Its record names the gene U1. It matches the Rfam family "U1 spliceosomal RNA". From Rfam's summary of the family: U1 is a small nuclear RNA (snRNA) component of the spliceosome (involved in pre-mRNA splicing). Its 5' end forms complementary base pairs with the 5' splice junction, thus defining the 5' donor site of an intron. There are significant differences in sequence and secondary structure between metazoan and yeast U1 snRNAs, the latter being much longer (568 nucleotides as compared to 164 nucleotides in human). NCBI's taxonomy places the organism in Eukaryota, Metazoa, Chordata, Mammalia, Primates, Galagidae. The record is from Ensembl.
AUACUUACCUGGCAGGGGAGAUACCACGAUCGUGAAGGUGGUUUUCUCAGGGCGAGGCUUACCCAUUGCACUCCAGAUGUGCUGACCCCUUGCGAUGUCCCCAAUUGUGGGAAGCUCGACUGCAUAAUUUGUCACAGCGGGGAACUGCAUUUGUGCUUUCCACU